This 339-nucleotide unclassified non-coding RNA is filed under the name soil metagenome. RNAcentral describes it as "partial contains 5.8S ribosomal RNA, internal transcribed spacer 2, and large subunit ribosomal RNA". The stretch from base 1 to 120 matches the Rfam family "5.8S ribosomal RNA", at positions 35 to 154 of the family's 154-position model. The record is from RNAcentral.
GAUGAAGAACGUAGCGAAAUGCGAUAAGUAGUGUGAAUUGCAGAAUUCAGUGAAUCAUCGAAUCUUUGAACGCACAUUGCGCCCCUUGGUAUUCCAUGGGGCAUGCCUGUUCGAGCGUCAUCUACAACCCUCAAGCCCUGCUUGGUGUUGGGCGUCUGUCCCGCCCCCGCGCGCGGACUCGCCCCAAAUCCAUUGGCGGCGGCCCUUGCCUCCCUCUCGCGCAGCACAUUGCGCUUCUCGAGGCGUCGCGGGCCGCGCUCCACGAAGCACGCAAACCAGUCUUUGACCUCGGAUCAGGUAGGGAUACCCGCUGAACUUAAGCAUAUCAAUAACGGAGGA